CACAGGGGAGCUUGUGAAGCAGGCUGAGAGGAAGUCAUCAAACUUCGACCCUUAAACCUGAUGCGGAUAAUGCCGCCGUAGGAAAUCAUAUU
Molecule: non-coding RNA, 92 nt
Filed under: human gut metagenome
Description: TPP riboswitch (THI element)
Rfam family: TPP riboswitch aptamer (THI element) (bases 4-84)
About the family: Vitamin B(1) in its active form thiamin pyrophosphate (TPP) is an essential coenzyme that is synthesised by coupling of pyrimidine and thiazole moieties in bacteria.
Source: RNAcentral